ACACUCAGGUAUCUCGGCAAUGGAUCUGGA
Molecule: non-coding RNA, 30 nt
Filed under: Mus musculus (house mouse)
Lineage: Eukaryota; Metazoa; Chordata; Mammalia; Rodentia; Muridae
Source: RNAcentral